CCAAUUCUGAAGCAACCAAGCUGGCAUAGACGCAUUUACAAGAAGGCUCACUACUAAAUAAUCUCCUUAAAAAUGAUCGUUUUGGUUGAAAAGGUGAGCCGGAAAGCUUUUUCUUUGUAGAAGAAGGAGAGAAUAACGAUUGUCUUCUUCUAUGUUUGGGAACAUUCAACGAAUCAUAAGAGGCUGGUGAUUGAGAGAGAUCAGCACGCAUUGAUCUCUCCCCACUAGGGGUACGAAGACGACGAGAGUUGUUCAUGGUUGCAUUUGCGUAUGGUUGAUUAUAGUUAUUAUUAUCAAUAUUAUUAGAGAAUUGUUCAUUUCCUACGUUGAAGCGAGUAACUCUUGGAUUAAAAGCACUGCCGCGCGGGAAGCUUACGACUCGAUUACCAGUGUGUUCGGACAUUCUAGAAGUGACACGCUUUCUUGGAGGUCCCAUACCUGUCGGGAAAUUGGAAGCUGCUAAAUUACCAACAAUACUAGGGUCAUUCUCAUUCAUACGAAAAUCAUUUGACAUAUCCAGUGAAGUAGCGCGACGACUUAGUUGAACUUCCGGAUCGUUUAUAGAAACGUUAAAGUUGCGAGGAGAUAAUGCAGAAGGAGGUCGGUAAUUUGAUGACAGCAUUGAACUAUCGUGGGGAUAUGCAAGUCCUGGGGUAACUGAUUUUGGGAGUUGAGGAACAGCAGAAGAUGUAGUGGCUGGUCGUUGAAGUAUGGAUUGGGGGUUGGUAGCAUUAAAAGAGUAAUUAAAAGUGCCAGAAGUGGUAACAGGUGUAAGAAAUGGCGAUGCAGAAGUAGCAGGUCGAGGAACAGACUCUGCAGCAUAAGAAAUUGGAUAAGGCGCUAAAGUAGGAAUAUUGAUAGCUUGUUCAAUUUCUUCCUCGUCCAUUUGCUGCCCGUUGGAUGCUGCUGUACCAAGGAGAUCAUCGACCACAGCGCGGUUGCGAUCAACUGCAGCGCUGGAAGGCGGAUGCAAGUGUCUGCUCAGUAGAGUAUAUAGAGUUUUUUCAACCAAGGGUGAUUGAGAUGCCAAUUUUUCAUACAAGGGCAUAGGAUCAUCGGAACAUCUGAAAACUAAAGAGAGAUGCUGCACUAUUAAUGGAUCAAUGGGUUGUAUAGGGGCUGAUAUGAUUGGAAUAGAAAUAUUGGGAUGAACAAAGCAACUAAGAAACGGGUGUUCACGAAUUUGUUCCAUGGUAAUUCGAGUAGAUGAAUCAACAUCAAGCAUGCGGUACAACAGAUGUUGGGCUUGAGGAGAGAUAUUUGAUGGCAUUUCAAAUUGACCCUGACAGACUUUUAGCAACAAAGAACGAAUGUUGUCAUCAUCAAACGGUAAUUUCCCUGUUAACAAAGCAAAAAAUAUAAUUCCACAUGACCAAAUAUCGCUAGCACAACCAUCAUAUGAACGCCCCAUAAUAAUUUCUGGGGAUGCGUAAUGGGGAGACCCGCAGGAAGUCUGCAAAAGCUUUCCUGGCUGUUGAAUAGACGCCAUACCGAAUUCACCGAUUUUGAUAGAACCAUGGGCAUCCAAGUAUAAGUUCUCUGGCUUUAAAUCCCGGUGGCAGAUAUGAAGUUUAUGACAAUACUCCAAUCCACACAAAAUCUGCCAUAGAAACUUUGCCGUAUCUUGCUCAGUAAAACUUCCUUUACGAAGCAUGCAGUCAAAAAGCUCACCACCUGGCAUAUAUUCGACUACGACAAAGAGUUGCUCCUGGGCUGAAAUCACAUCUAUGAGCUGCAAAACAUUAGGAUGCUCGAUCAAUCGAAGCAAAACUAAUUCACCCUCUAUCCUAGCCUGUUGGCUCGAAGUAAGCUCGGACCAUCCUACAAUCGGUUUUACUACGGCUAAUUGCCCAGUUUCACGAUGUUUGGCUAAACGUGAUGAAUUUGGUCCUCCUGAUCCUAAGGAAAGACCAAGCUCCCAAGGUCCAACUUCUGAAAUUGUACUCAUACACUUCAACUAUUCAAAAGAACCAGUAAAUCGGUGAAGUGGUGAUGGCCAAAUCCAAACCCCAU
Molecule: non-coding RNA, 2013 nt
Organism: Schizosaccharomyces pombe (fission yeast)
Lineage: Eukaryota; Fungi; Ascomycota; Schizosaccharomycetes; Schizosaccharomycetales; Schizosaccharomycetaceae
Source: the annotation of a GenBank genome assembly